This 81-nucleotide transfer-messenger RNA is filed under the name Phytophthora fragariae. Its description in RNAcentral is "transfer-messenger RNA Phyto_fraga_SCRP24". It matches the Rfam family "Mitochondrion-encoded tmRNA". Lineage: Eukaryota; Oomycota; Peronosporomycetes; Peronosporales; Peronosporaceae. The record is from RNAcentral.
AAAUAAAUGGACCCGAAGGUAGUAUUUGGUAUUUCCAUAUAAAUUAAAUAACAUGGGGAUAAUUAUCGAAUUGACAUUUAU